ACACCUUAUACACCUUUAAAGGUCAGGGGCAUAAGACUGAGACCCACUGCCCCAUUUCCUCCCACGGUCUCAUGUCUAGAGGGUCCUAUGGAUACCCAGAGAUCUUCAUUCUGAACGGCACGCUAGGCCAGAUGGGGAACACGGAGGAAUGAAUGGCACUGCCUGGCCUUGAGAAGAGGGAGAAGACAAGCCUUCACAUGAGAUAAACAUGGGUCAGCACAUCCAGAGUGCAAUGGAUAAGCCUCGCCCUGGGAAAACCACCUUCGUGAUCAUAGUAUCUCCCCUGCCAGAAAAGGAAGUGUGGACAUGGAAGGAGACCCCAGGGGUGCACGUGCACAGAGGGAUGACCGUGUGAGGAGGCAGUAGGAGGACAGCCGUCUGCAAGCAGGGACAGAAGCCUCAGGAGAAACCAACCUUGCUGGCACCUCGGUCUUAGAUGCCCAGAUUCCAGAACUGUUAGAAAAUAAAUUUCUAUUGUUGAAACCACCCAGCCUGUGGUAUUUUGCAAUGACAGUCCUGGCAAAAUAAUACAGUCCUUCAGAGGCACCUAUUCUUUCUGCCUUUAAUUUGCUUUGGCUUUGUUUUAUGUGUGGCCUUGUUUCAUUUGCUUGUAAAUGACUUGAGGGCGACAUCCAGGAAGGAGUAUCUUUUCCUGUGUCCCCACAGGGUGCAGUUCAAUGCCAGGCACAAAGUGCACAGAAUCAGACCUUUGUCCUCACUGCCAGCUUUGUCGACCUGCUGACAAGGGUCAGGGGGACCCAAGCUGCUAUCCACCCAGGGUGCUUUUCAAAAUUCAAGUCAUGGAAAUAAUUUAGGGAGCCACUUGAGUACUUUUUGGAAAUAAUGAGACAGAAGAGCAGAUAAUAGAAAAUGCCAGCGUGUUUCUCAGGCAGUAAAAGUGUUACUUCAUGCAACUUUGUUUGAUUUUACAUAUUUAUAAAUAAACAGAAUAAUUACAAAU
RNAcentral lists this long non-coding RNA (961 nucleotides) under Homo sapiens (human). Its description in RNAcentral is "HSALNT0334054". The record is from RNAcentral. Lineage: Eukaryota; Metazoa; Chordata; Mammalia; Primates; Hominidae.